Molecule: ribosomal RNA, 372 nt
Filed under: Triticum aestivum (bread wheat)
Lineage: Eukaryota; Viridiplantae; Streptophyta; Magnoliopsida; Poales; Poaceae
Description: partial small subunit ribosomal RNA
Source: RNAcentral
AUGAUAUCUGGUGGCGGGAGGAACCAUGGCUUGUUAGCCAUUGGGGAUGGACUGAUACGUUGUACUAGCACUCUCCCGCAGAUCAAGAGGCGCCAGACGAGCUCCGAUCCUGAGAUAAGGCCUCGUCCACGGCCAAUGGAUCUUGAAAUCAAGGCUGCUAUUGAGGAAGAGAGAGCAAAGACCCAGGAGCUUCUGGCAGAGGAAAGGAGGCAGACGGCAGAGAGGGAGGGGGAGACUAAGGAGAGGACGGCUAGGCUUUUGGAGGAGGAGAGGAACCGGAACGACUUGGCUAACCGGGCCAUAUACGAGAUCUUCGCGGUAAGUUUCUUCUACAUAUUAGCUAAAUCAUGCACGCAAUGUUCCUUUCAUUAG